CGAAUUUGGGUUAAUUAAUUAAUUGUAAUUAGCAAAAUGUCAAGUUAAAUAGUAUAUACAAUUAUAACCAAUAGAAUGCAAGUUCCCCUAAUCAUGACAAUCUAACUCGCCCCGUGGGUAUUCAUUUGUCCGAACCCACUCCGAUUUGGACGGGAAAAACUCGUGUUUAUCAGGUUCGGGUUCGAGUUUUUCCCGAUAGAUAAAAUCGGGGACGAGGGCGAGGACGGGGAUGUCAAUUCUUUCCUGUACACGCCCUGCCCACGCCUCGCUUAAUAAUAUAAUUAAAAAAUUAUUUAUAUAUAUUUAAAUAGGUAGUACGGUGUGGCUGCUUUGUUGAGCCACUCCAUGGAAUCGAUAGCUCCAAGUGGGCCAUUUUUGGUAAGCAGAACUGGCGAUGCGGGAUGAACCGGAAGCUGGGUUACGGUGCCCAACUGCGCGCUAACCUAGACCCCACAAAGGGUGUUGGUCGAUUAAGACAGCAGGACGGUGGUCAUGGAAGUCGAAAUCCGCUAAGGAGUGUGUAACAACUCACCUGCCGAAUCAACUAGCCCCGAAAAUGGAUGGCGCUAAAGCGCGCGACCUAUACCCGGCCGUCGAGGCAAGAGCCAAGCCUCGAUGAGUAGGAGGGCGCGGCGGUCGCUGUAAAACCCAGGGCGUGAGCCCGGGCGGAGCGUUCGUCGGUGCAGAU
RNAcentral lists this non-coding RNA (688 nucleotides) under Cajanus cajan (pigeon pea). Its description in RNAcentral is "Eukaryotic large subunit ribosomal RNA". The stretch from base 137 to 683 matches the Rfam family "Eukaryotic large subunit ribosomal RNA", at positions 957 to 1444 of the family's 3401-position model. The record is from Rfam by way of RNAcentral. Lineage: Eukaryota; Viridiplantae; Streptophyta; Magnoliopsida; Fabales; Fabaceae.